GCUAGGAGUGGUGAUAUAUUCCUGUAAUUCCAUCUACCAAGGAGUCUGAGGCUGGUGAAUCUCCUGAGCUAGGGGUUCUGAGCUACCAUGGGCUAUGCCAAUUGGAUGUCCACUCUAAGUGUAACAUUAAUAUGGUGAACCUCCAGGAGCAGGAUGUCACCUGGUUGCCUAAACAGGAAUAAACCAGCCCAGAUCACAAAUGUUGUAGAAGGUCCAAAUUCCCAUGUUGAUAAGAGUAGGAUAAAGCCCAUGAGUAGUCCCAGCCUAGGCAAGAUAGAGAGAAAUACACUUAA
Vombatus ursinus (common wombat) is the source of this 293-nucleotide unclassified non-coding RNA. It matches the Rfam family "Metazoan signal recognition particle RNA". From Rfam's summary of the family: The signal recognition particle (SRP) is a universally conserved ribonucleoprotein. It is involved in the co-translational targeting of proteins to membranes. NCBI's taxonomy places the organism in Eukaryota, Metazoa, Chordata, Mammalia, Diprotodontia, Vombatidae. The record is from Ensembl.